Molecule: small nucleolar RNA, 91 nt
Filed under: Myotis lucifugus (little brown bat)
Lineage: Eukaryota; Metazoa; Chordata; Mammalia; Chiroptera; Vespertilionidae
Source: RNAcentral
AUUUAAAAAACAACAGCAACAACAACAACACUUUUGGGUGAAGCAGCAGCAGCAUAUUGUGUUGUUUUGCUUCAAUGGUGGUGUGACAAGG